RNAcentral lists this ribosomal RNA (551 nucleotides) under uncultured Glomeromycotina. RNAcentral describes it as "SSU rRNA". It matches the Rfam family "Eukaryotic small subunit ribosomal RNA", at positions 548 to 1098 of the family's 1831-position model. Lineage: Eukaryota; Fungi; Glomeromycota. The record is from RNAcentral.
UUGGAGGGCAAGUCUGGUGCCAGCAGCCGCGGUAAUUCCAGCUCCAAUAGCGUAUAUUAAAGUUGUUGCAGUUAAAAAGCUCGUAGUUGAACUUCGGGGUUUACCCAUUGGUCAGGCUUAAUUGUCUGUACUGGUGAGAUAAAUCUCUACCUUCUGAGGAACUUUCAUGCCGUUUAGUUGGUGUGAUAGGAAAUCAGGACUGUUACUUUGAAAAAAUUAGAGUGUUUAAAGCAGGCUAACGUCUGAAUACAUUAGCAUGGAAUAAUGAAAUAGGACGGAUUGGUUCUAUUUCGUUGGUUUCUAGGAUCACCGUAAUGAUUAAUAGGGAUAGUUGGGGGCAUUAGUAUUCAAUCGUCAGAGGUGAAAUUCUUGGAUUUAUUGAAGACUAACUAUUGCGAAAGCAUUUGCCAAGGAUGUUUUCAUUAAUCAAGAACGAAAGUUAGGGGAUCGAAGACGAUCAGAUACCGUCGUAGUCUUAACCAUAAACUAUGCCGACUAGGGAUCGGACGAAGUUAAUUUUAUAAUGACGCGUUCGGCGCCUUACGGGAAAC